This is a long non-coding RNA of Ictalurus furcatus (blue catfish), 2254 nucleotides long. RefSeq lists it as uncharacterized. The transcript has 3 exons. The record is from RefSeq and is a predicted model, not a curated record. Lineage: Eukaryota; Metazoa; Chordata; Actinopteri; Siluriformes; Ictaluridae.
AACAGCCAUCUGGUCCAUCAACAUAUGGUACACUUUCAGAAAUAAAGCUUCCAAACUGAACUUUUCCUCAUUGCUUGGGUGAUGACAUCAAGGGGACAUGUUUUGUACCUGUAGUUUGUAUCUUUUACCUGGGAAGGUGCAUGUGGUGUACCUUUAAUCAGCUCUUAGAUUAAAACAUUAAAUGUGCAUAAAUUAUGUGCCAAUUAUGUACUUUACAUUAUAUGUAAAGGUAUAAAGAUAUGCACAUAUGGUACACAAGAUUGACACUUGAUGGUAAGACUUCAGCAACAAGGUAAGACACAGUUUGGCACCUUUAUUUCUGAGAGUGUAGAGUUUUUGUGGUAAAACGAUCAUUUUGUUUUCAUGCUAUGUGCUACGUGAUUUUCUGGUGAGGAGUUCUGACAUGUCUGUAACUCAAAAAUGACCUUUAACUCCAAAUACAACUAUGUUUAGAAAGAAAUGUGUGUGUGUGUGUGUGUGUGUGUGUGUGUGUGUGUAUGGGUUAAAGGGCUACCUCUGUGCCAAAUUGCAAUGUUGAAAUCAUUUAGUAAAUUUACUGAUAAUUAGCUUUAACGCUAACUGGGUUUUAGGCAGCAUGUUCAAAGUGGACCAUAGAUUAGGUGAUAAUACAGUUUUCAGUGUGUUAACCAAAUGUGGAGCAAUUAACAGCAGCAGCAUAUAUGCUGUCUUUCUCUCUCUCUCUCUCUCUCUCUCUCUCUCUCUCUCACACACACACACACACACACACACACACACUCACACUUUCAGCUAUUACAGUGGUCUUUCUCUUCUCUCUCGUCUAGCUGCUGAAGGGUUUGUGUAAUGGAGUGUGUGUGUGCGUGUGUGUGCGUGUGUGUGUGUGUGUGGGGGGGGUUACAAAGAAAGACAGGGACAGACGUGAGAAAGUGGAGAGAUGUGAGGACGCAACAGAGAAGUGAAAGAGCAUGGAGAGAGAAAGAGAGAAACAAAGCGCUGACACUGGAGUUAACUAAGUGUGCUGAGGUCUAUGCAAUGUUUUAGUCUGGAAAAACUCCUUUCCUUGACAUCACAGCCGGCUCAAACCCAGGCUAAAAUCACACAUAUGGAAGGAUGCUGAAUGUUCCGGGAGAACAUUCCUGAGGCAGAUAAACUUAAGCAGCAAGCCGGUGGUGACGGUGGUGAGGAAAAACUCCCUAAGAUGAUAUGAGGAAGAAACCUUGGGAGGAACCAGACUCAGAAGGAAACCCGUCCUCAUCUGGGUAACAACGGAUAGUGUGAAUUAAAGUUCAUUAUGGUUUUAUAUGAAGUCUGUUCGUUGAACUAGUCCACAGUUUACUAAAGGAGACUUGAGUGUAAAACUGUUGUGGUAAUUGUAGUCCCAAGGCCAUCGCAGCAACCGUAGUCCCAGCAACCACAGCGAGAACGUCCAUGUGGAAUUGAGGUCCAAAAGCAUUUCCGUGGUACUUCUAGCGGUCCCAUCCUCAGCAAUCUCCAGGCUGCACUGCUUGGGAUCGUCCUCAGUGGCAGAAUGUAGCCUCCAGUUGAUGAGAGCUCCAUUCAGAGGUAGGGCAUCAGGAUGGAUCAGGCAGGUCCGGAGAGCAGAAAGGAUCAGGAUCACCGGCAUCUCCAUAAUAUUAUGUGUGGCUUGUCAGAAGGAGAGAGGGAAAGGGAGGUAAAGAGAGGGAGAGAUUGUUAGGUAUGCUUACUAUCCCAUAAUGGAUAAGACCGUGUACUUUGUGUAAAAGAAAGUCUAUUCAUGGUAAGCUUGAGUAAACAAAUAUGUUUUCAGUAUCUCGGAUGGACACGCAGACAAACCUAGUGUCAGAGGCAUAAAUUCUUAUAAUAUAUUCAUAUUAUAAGAAUAUUCACAAAUUCUUGAAUAUAUAAACAUUAUGUAAACUUUCACAGAACCCAAAAGCACAACCUUUAGACUUUAAAUGGUCUAGGAGCCAAAUGUUCAUCUUUUUUUUUUAAUUUUUAUAAAAUGUAUAAAAGCUGUAUAUCAACUGAACCCAAAUUUAAAGCUAAACCUAAAAUUAAACUCAAAGCUGGAUCUGGAUUAAAACAUUACAAGUGGCAGGAAAAUGCAUGAACACCUGAAUGUUCUGUGAUGGUGUGUGUGUGUGAUCAGGCAUUAAGUGUGACUUUAUCAUGAGUAGCUGCUGGAUGUAUAUCUCAUUUUUUCUCUCAUUUUAAUGGUAAUUAUACAUAAUGCCACAUAAUGAACCUAAAAUGGAGCUCCAGCUACAAAUGUCAGACAGUGACACGUUGCCUU